UUGACCUCGGAUCAGGUAGGGAUACCCGCUGAACUUAAGCAUAUCAAUA
RNAcentral lists this ribosomal RNA (49 nucleotides) under Bipolaris maydis (southern corn leaf blight pathogen). RNAcentral describes it as "partial 28S ribosomal RNA". Lineage: Eukaryota; Fungi; Ascomycota; Dothideomycetes; Pleosporales; Pleosporaceae. The record is from RNAcentral. RNAcentral also lists the same sequence under 231 other names.